GUGCCAGCCGCCGCGGUAAUACCGGCAGCUCAAGUGAUGUCCCAUAUUAUUGGGCCUAAAGCGUCCGUAGCCGGCCGGACAAGUCCGUUGGGAAAUCCACGUGCUCAACGCGUGGGCGACCAGCGGAAACUAUCCGGCUUGGGGCCGGAAGACUCGAGGGGUACGUCCGGGGUAGGAGUGAAAUCCCGUAAUCCUGGACGGACCACCGGUGGCGAAAGCGCCUCGAGAAGACGGACCCGACGGUGAGGAACGAAAGCUAGGGUCUCGAACCGGAUUAGAAACCCUAGUAGUCC
This 293-nucleotide ribosomal RNA is filed under the name uncultured bacterium. Its description in RNAcentral is "partial 16S ribosomal RNA". It matches the Rfam family "Archaeal small subunit ribosomal RNA", at positions 455 to 747 of the family's 1478-position model. The record is from RNAcentral.